This 252-nucleotide ribosomal RNA is filed under the name uncultured Lachnospiraceae bacterium. RNAcentral's name for it is "partial 16S ribosomal RNA". It matches the Rfam family "Bacterial small subunit ribosomal RNA", at positions 524 to 776 of the family's 1533-position model. The record is from RNAcentral. Lineage: Bacteria; Bacillati; Bacillota; Clostridia; Lachnospirales; Lachnospiraceae.
UACGGAGGAUGCGAGCGUUAUCCGGAUUUAUUGGGUUUAAAGGGUGCGCAGGCGGUCUGUUAAGUCAGCGGUCAAAGCCCGGGGCUCAACCCCGGCCCGCCGUUGAAACUGGCAGGCUGGAGUGCCGGAGAGGCAGGCGGAAUUCCUAGUGUAGCGGUGAAAUGCGUAGAUAUUAGGAGGAACACCAGUGGCGAAGGCGGCCUGCUGGACGGUGACUGACGCUGAGGCUCGAAAGCGUGGGGAGCAAACAGG